Molecule: unclassified non-coding RNA, 378 nt
Filed under: uncultured Oligoflexales bacterium
Lineage: Bacteria; Pseudomonadati; Bdellovibrionota; Oligoflexia; Oligoflexales
Description: contains 16S-23S intergenic spacer region
Source: RNAcentral
UCCGGUUUAACACCGGCGGUCUCCAUAGAGUGCCCAACUAAAUGAUGGCAACUAGGGAUAAGGGUUGCGCUCGUUAAGGGACUUAACCCGACAUCUCACGAUACGAGCUGACGACAGCCAUGCAGCACCUAAACUACCAGCCCCCGAAGGGGAAAUCCUAUCUCUAGGACUGUCUGAUAUUGUCUAACCCAGGUAAGGUUCUUCGCGUUGCAUCGAAUUAAACCACAUGCUCCACCGCUUGUGCGGGCCCCCGUCAAUUCCUUUGAGUUUUAACCUUGCGGCCGUACUUCCCAGGCGGGGUACUUAAUGCGUUAGCUUCGGCACUGCAGGGGUCAAUUCCCGCAACACCUAGUACCCAUCGUUUACGGCGUGGACUAC